AUUAUAAUUAAUUCUGCUUUGUACAGUUGUAGAAGUGUACAUCUUUUGAGCUGUCUUUUAUUUUAGGGCAUACCUAUACAAGAAGAUAAGAAGAAGAGAAAGCAGCAAAAUGUGAUAUUAAGUCCACAAGCAGGUAGUUUAACCUGCCGAAAUUCGGGUCGCUCUGGUCAGAGGAAGAGCCCAGUGGAAUGAGAAGUGAAUAAAAAGGAAAAAAAAAGAAAAAAAACUACCAGAUUCUACUUUUGUCCAGGCAGACAGCAACCCAAAGUCCAGAAACCCUUAAAUCUGAAUGGUACUGUUGGGCCAAUAGUAGCCCGUUCAAAGCCAAAGCCAGGACAUCUUGACUUGAAGCCAAAUAGGGCCUUUUUAUUGUUGUGGGUUUUGUUUUUGGGUUGUUUUUUUUUUUUCUCCCCCCAAAACGCUCCUCCUGAGAGGGGUUUUUUUUUUUUUUUUUUUUUAAAGCUUUCAUUUAAAGAAAAUAAGCAAGUAAGCAUGCAUGUGAUGCAUGUGAUGUCUUAAAAUACUUUGCCAGUCAAGAGGUUUUCCCUUGUUUUGUUUUUUUGUUUGGUUUUUUGUAUAUAUAAAAUUUUUACAUUUAAAGCAAUAUUACUGCAAAUUUGGUGUAAAAUCUCUUAAAAUUGGAAUGUAAAUAACUGUCUCCUAGACGACUAAUAGCUUAGAUCCCAGUAGGGUAUCUUUUGACAUCAUACUGUAUCUUUAAUGCUAAAUUUUAUUUUUAAUUGUUUUGGUGGACACUUGAAGGUUCAACCGUCCUUUAAUUUGGUAGACCAGCGUUUAUAAACACUGUUACCGCUGUGAGUCAGAUUGAAAUGAUAAACUGAUUAUGAUAUUAGUCUGCUACUCAACAUCAAAACGUCAAGGCUAUUUCACAUUAAACCAAAAAGGUUUCAAUUCAUAUGCGUUCUUUUUUUUUUUUUUUUUUUUUUUUUCCCUUAAGUGUUGUUUUAGAGAUUUGGGGAAAAGAUGUUUCUUAAUGGCAGUAUACCUUUUUAAUGGCCUGGAUCUGUAUUUUUUAUUUUAUUUUUAAUUAUAAAAUCAUGUGUUUGUCCUCUGCACUGAUGACCAUCUGUCCAUGUCUCUGGUGUUCUUGAAGACAGAACUACCUGCAAGGUGUCUCCAUGUUUGUGUGCCUUUUUGUUAGAGAAACCACCAUGUAGAUAUGUUUCUCAGGAUCACAGUUUUAUUCCUAGACUGCUGGUCCACUCAAGCUUCAUGGAUACAUAGUGCUCUAAAACUGCCUGCAGAUGUUAGUAGAGGGAAGGUAAAAGCUCAUUACCUCUCAAUUUUCUAUAUGUCUUCACACUGCUAGGAUGUGUUGUAACGAUGGUAGAGGAUCACAUGCUUGAGGGAAGUUGGGUAAAAAAAAAACUUCCUGUGCAGACUCUUAAAAUUGAUAUUUUAAAAAGGAAGAAGGGGAAAAAAAUGAAAAGCUGUUCUGGCUGGCUGCACACACUGCGCUCCAACUAGAGGUAAUCUCAGUUAGUUCAUUGGAGAGCGAAAUGUAUUUAUUUGCCACAAAGGCUUCAUUUCAUUGUAAUGUUGCCACAGAUUGGUAGCUGCACUGUGGGGUGGGUGGGUGUCCAGCCCCUUGGAUUAUGUUGCUGCUAAUGUCUCAAAGGCCUGCUUAUAAUUCAACUUAUGUAGGGUGUCUGGCUUUAUUAUAUCUUACUCUUACUGAUUUUUAUAAUAAAAAUAAAUGUUGGUAUUGUAAUCAUAUUUCUUAUUUUAAAGGAUGUGUGCUUUAAUUGCUUUAAUACCAGCUGUAUUUUUAUUUUUACUAGGAUUAAAUGGAGGAUUUAAUUUGGUGUCAGGGACCCCUGAUUGUGUUAGGAAAGGUUUGCUCAUUGUCCAGUUUGUCUCAAAGAAUUAAACUGAAGUCAAAUUCCAGUGUGCUUUUUUUUAAAAUGUAUUUUUUUUUUUAUUUAUCCCCCCCCUCCCCUUUCCUCCUCAAAAUAUUUAAAGUAUAUGAAGCAGUAAUGCCAGGAGUCUUCAAAAUGUGUUAGAUCAUAUACUGCAAAUCCUGCAGGUGUCACCAAAGCUGAAAUAGUUUAAAACGAUGAAAGAAUUUCCCUUUUUUCCCUUUUUGUGUAGUACCAC
Long non-coding RNA from Astatotilapia calliptera (eastern happy), 2118 nucleotides. NCBI's taxonomy places the organism in Eukaryota, Metazoa, Chordata, Actinopteri, Cichliformes, Cichlidae. The record is from Ensembl.